RNAcentral lists this ribosomal RNA (468 nucleotides) under uncultured bacterium. RNAcentral describes it as "partial 16S ribosomal RNA". It matches the Rfam family "Bacterial small subunit ribosomal RNA", at positions 28 to 507 of the family's 1533-position model. The record is from RNAcentral.
GACGAACGCUGGCGGCGUGCUUAACACAUGCAAGUCGAACGGAAAGGCCCUGCUUUUGUGGGGUGCUCGAGUGGCGAACGGGUGCGUAACACGUGAGUAACCUGCCCUUGACUUUGGGAUAACUUCAGGAAACUGGGGCUAAUACCGGAUAGGAGCUCCUGCUGCAUGGAGGGGGUUGGAAAGUUUCGGCGGUUGGGGAUGGACUAGCGGCUUAUCGGCUUGUUGGUGGGGGAGUGGCUUACCAAGGGUUUGACGGGUAGCCGGCAUGAGAGGGUGACCGGCCACAUUGGGACUGAGAUACGGCGCAGACUGCUACGGGAGGCAGCAGUGGGGAAUAUUGCACAAUGGUCGGAAGCCUGAUGCAGCAACGCCGCGUGCGGGAUGACGGCCUUCGGGUUGUAAACCGCUUUCGCCUAUGACGAAGCGUGAGUGACGGUAAUGGGUAAAGAAGCACCGGCUAACUACGUG